This 468-nucleotide ribosomal RNA is filed under the name uncultured bacterium. Its description in RNAcentral is "partial 16S ribosomal RNA". It matches the Rfam family "Bacterial small subunit ribosomal RNA", at positions 28 to 507 of the family's 1533-position model. The record is from RNAcentral.
GAUGAACGCUGGCGGCGUGCUUAACACAUGCAAGUCGAACGGAAAGGCUCAAGCUUGCUUGGGUACUCGAGUGGCGAACGGGUGAGUAACACGUGGGUGAUCUGCCCUGCACUUCGGGAUAAGCCUGGGAAACUGGGUCUAAUACCGGAUAGGACGAUGGUUUGGAUGCCAUUGUGGAAAGUUUUUUCGGUGUGGGAUGAGCUCGCGGCCUAUCAGCUUGUUGGUGGGGUAAUGGCCUACCAAGGCGUCGACGGGUAGCCGGCCUGAGAGGGUGUACGGCCACAUUGGGACUGAGAUACGGCCCAGACUCCUACGGGAGGCAGCAGUGGGGAAUAUUGCACAAUGGGCGCAAGCCUGAUGCAGCGACGCCGCGUGGGGGAUGACGGCCUUCGGGUUGUAAACUCCUUUCGCUAGGGACGAAGCGUUUUUGUGACGGUACCUGGAGAAGAAGCACCGGCUAACUACGUG